This 490-nucleotide ribosomal RNA is filed under the name uncultured bacterium. RNAcentral's name for it is "partial 16S ribosomal RNA". It matches the Rfam family "Bacterial small subunit ribosomal RNA", at positions 29 to 507 of the family's 1533-position model. The record is from RNAcentral.
AGUGAACGCUGGCGGCAGGCCUAACACAUGCAAGUCGAACGGCAGCACAAGAGAGCUUGCUCUCUGGGUGGCGAGUGGCGGACGGGUGAGGAAUGCAUCGGAAUCUGCCCAUUUGUGGGGGAUAACCUCGGGAAACCGGGACUAAUACCGCAUACGACCUACGGGUGAAAGCAGGGGAUCUUCGGACCUUGCGCAGAUGGAUGAGCCGAUGCCGGAUUAGCUAGUGGGAGGGGUAAAGGCCCACCAAGGCGACGAUCCGUAGCUGGUCUGAGAGGAUGAUCAGCCACACUGGGACUGAGACACGGCCCAGACUCCUACGGGAGGCAGCAGUGGGGAAUAUUGGACAAUGGGCGCAAGCCUGAUCCAGCCAUGCCGCGUGUGUGAAGAAGGCCUUCGGGUUGUAAAGCACUUUUGUUGGGAAAGAAAAGCAGCCGGUUAAUACCCGGUUGUCAUGACGGUACCCAAAGAAUAAGCACCGGCUAACUUCGUG